GACGAACGCUGGCGGCGUGCUUAACACAUGCAAGUCGAACGGAAAGGCCCUGCUUUUGUGGGGUGCUCGAGUGGCGAACGGGUGAGUAACACGUGAGUAACCUGCCCUUGACUUUGGGAUAACUUCAGGAAACUGGGGCUAAUACCGGAUAGGAGCUCCUGCUGCAUGGUGGGGGUUGGAAAGUUUCGGCGGUUGGGGAUGGACUCGCGGCUUAUCAGCUUGUUGGUGGGGUAGUGGCUUACCAAGGCUUUGACGGGUAGCCGGCCUGAGAGGGGGACCGGCCACAUUAGGACUGAGAUACGGCCCAGACUCCUACGGGAGGCAGCAGUGGGGAAUAUUGCACAAUGGGCGGAAGCCUGAUGCAGCAGCGCCGCGUGCGGGAUGACGGCCUUCGGGUUAUAAACCGCUUUCGCCUGUGACGAAGCGUGAGUGACGGUAAUGGGUAAAGAAGCACCGGCUAACUACGUG
RNAcentral lists this ribosomal RNA (468 nucleotides) under uncultured bacterium. RNAcentral describes it as "partial 16S ribosomal RNA". It matches the Rfam family "Bacterial small subunit ribosomal RNA", at positions 28 to 507 of the family's 1533-position model. The record is from RNAcentral.